RNAcentral lists this ribosomal RNA (447 nucleotides) under uncultured bacterium. Its description in RNAcentral is "bacterial SSU rRNA". It matches the Rfam family "Bacterial small subunit ribosomal RNA", at positions 330 to 793 of the family's 1533-position model. The record is from RNAcentral.
CCCAGACUCCUACGGGAGGCAGCAGUGGGGGAUAUUGCACAAUGGGGGAAACCCUGAUGCAGCGACGCCGCGUGGGUGAAGAAGUAUUUCGGUAUGUAAAGCCCUAUCAGCAGGGAAGAAAGAAGACGGUACCUGACUAAGAAGCCCCGGCUAACUACGUGCCAGCAGCCGCGGUAAUACGUAGGGGGCGAGCGUUAUCCGGAUUCACUGGGUGUAAAGGGAGCGUAGACGGCCGUGCAAGCCAGGAGUGAGAGCCCGGGGCCCAACCCCGGGACUGCUCUUGGAACUGUGCGGCUGGAGUGCGGGAGGGGCAGGCGGAAUUCCUGGUGUAGCGGUGAAAUGCGUAGAUAUCAGGAGGAACACCGGCGGCGAAGGCGGCCUGCUGGACCGCGACUGACGUUGAGGCUCGAAAGCGUGGGGAGCGAACAGGAUUAGAUACCCCCGUAU